Molecule: unclassified non-coding RNA, 159 nt
Filed under: uncultured Helotiales
Lineage: Eukaryota; Fungi; Ascomycota; Leotiomycetes; Helotiales
Description: sequence contains ITS1
Source: RNAcentral
CUGAGAUCAUGCCCUUAACGGGGUAGACCUCCCACCCUGUGUUAUUACGAUUGUUGCUUUGGCAGGCCGCCCUCGGGCGCUCGGCUUCGGCUGAGGCGUGCCUGCCAGAAGACCCAAACCCUGUAUUUAGUGUUGUCCGAGUACUAUUUUAAUACGUUA